Molecule: ribosomal RNA, 326 nt
Filed under: uncultured eukaryote
Lineage: Eukaryota
Description: partial 18S ribosomal RNA
Rfam family: Eukaryotic small subunit ribosomal RNA
Source: RNAcentral
CCCCUAGACGUUCUGGGCUGCGCGCGCGCUACAAUAAUACGCACAGCGAGUAUCACCGAGCUCGAAAGGGCAAGGUAAACAAUAGAAAAGGUACUGUAAUGGUUAUAGAUCCUUGUAAUUAUUGAUCUUCAACGAGGAAUUCCUAGUAAGUAUGUGUCAUCAUCACGCACUGAUUACGUCCCUGCCCUUUGUACACACCGCCCGUCGCUCCUACCGAUUGAGUGGUCCGGUGAGGCUUUGGGAUCUGAGCGGAAAGAGCGUUUCGCUGUUUCUGCUCGGAAAACUCAGUCGAACCUUAUCAUUUAGAGGAAGGAGAAGUCGUAACA